AUGAAUGGAACAUAUUAGCAAUGAAGAAAGGUUAACAAAUUUAAACCUCUUUAGUUUAGAAAAACUUCGCCUGAGAGGGGAUAUGAUAACAUUAUACAAAUAUAUUCAGGGCUAAUACAAACUAUUGUGUGGAAAUCUAUUCACAAACCGAACUUUACAUAGGACACAUGCGUUUAGACUGGAACAAAAAAGAUUUUGUCUAGAACAAAUG
Molecule: long non-coding RNA, 211 nt
Filed under: Pelobates cultripes (western spadefoot toad)
Lineage: Eukaryota; Metazoa; Chordata; Amphibia; Anura; Pelobatidae
Source: RNAcentral